This is a long non-coding RNA of Octopus sinensis (East Asian common octopus), 683 nucleotides long. RefSeq lists it as uncharacterized. Lineage: Eukaryota; Metazoa; Mollusca; Cephalopoda; Octopoda; Octopodidae. The record is from RefSeq and is a predicted model, not a curated record. The transcript is spliced from 2 exons.
UGACAACCCUGUCCGGGACUUUUUAACAGACGGGAUACUUUUGGAGCAGUCACCGUUUCCGAUUGUCUUCGCUCACUCUCAUCAAACAAUACGGCAGGAGCGAAAGAGUGUUAGAAAUAGCAGCCAAAUCUGCAUCUUUCCAUCUUGAAAAAAUAUUUUAAAUAUUCGAUAAUGUAGUCUUAUACAUAUUACACAACACUAUAUGCAAAAAAAAAAAAGGACAUUAGAAGACGGGAUGGUCACGGCUGGGACGCCUUUGAUCGUGGUUCAGCUCGGUCGGAGAAGACCCGACGUUCAACAACACAAGAACUCUUGACUUGUUUUUCUGUUUUUUUUUUUUAAUUUAUCAAAUAUUUCCAGUGACCCACCAUCAAUUUCGUGGUCAUCACACCUUCACCACCACCACCACCACCACCAUCAUCAUCAUCACCUUCAUCACAAUCAUCAGCAUCAACCAUCGUCUUCUCUUCACUUCGACUGUCAAUUAAUAACGCACUUUCGCUUUACUGCUCUUCCUAAGACGCAUGUGUCAAUACAUCCGACAGGUCAUUGCCGUCUUCAUCUAUUGAUGGAUGCUUCUGAACAUCUGAUUCCUGAUUCCCUCGUCUGAUCAAAAAAAAAAAUUGAUCAAGCAAGUGUAAUCAAUACACACCACACAUUGAUCUGUUCCCAAUAAUAACAGG